GUUAGGUUAGUUUAUAAAAAUAUUAGUUUGUGGCACUAAAGAUAAGAUUUUUCUUACCUAACC
Molecule: transfer RNA, 63 nt
Filed under: Turritella bacillum
Lineage: Eukaryota; Metazoa; Mollusca; Gastropoda; Turritellidae
Description: tRNA-His
Source: RNAcentral